UUAAAGUUUGUUUCAACAUGAUAUCUGCUGAUGUCAAUGUAAUUUCUAAGAAUCCCACACAUUAGUAAUAUUUCAAUUGAAACAGUGUACAUAAAUUCCUUAGUGAUGCACAUUCCAUUACAUGACCAAAUAAUCAUUAAGCUAAUAUUCUCCUUUCCUUGCGGUUGUGUAGAAAAACAAACAGAAAAAUAUGUCUUCAGAUGAGAUUUCUCUAGUGAAUUAUAUUGCAACCAAAAAUCUUGGAAAUCCUAAAUAUGUAGUGAAAAUGGAAAUAUGUAAAAUUGUACAAACAUCAAACAUAGCUGAAGUGAAAACAGUAAUAAAACACAAUAUUUGGUAAAUGAAGAUUACGAUACUAUAUUGGAGUUUGCUGUAAAAUUAAUAAAUCAAAUUGGAACAAAACUUGGAGAAAAUGCUGACCAGCACGCAUCUUGAGUGAAAUAAGGUACAGGACAUAGUCGUUGAACAAUGAACAUUCCUUUGUGCAUUUGAAAUGUUAUUAAAAUUAAGUUCGUAUAGUAAAUAAAUCUGUAUUAUGUUUUGGCUUUGUUAGGGAUUAUGUUAUAAUAAACUAAAUAUUUAAUUACUUACAUACUUAUUUAGAGCACCACAUACUGUACUACAUAUGGCACUGUGCAUUGAAAGAAAUUAACCUUGAUGUUUAAAUGAUAAAAUAUUAGGUACCUAAGUACUUUACUUGUGUAUGAACUUAUUAAAAAUUAAUAAAAUAAAAAACCAAAAUUACAUAAUUUUUGCUUUUAUUUUUCAUAAUCCUUAAAUCUAGUUAAACAAUAAAUAGU
This is a non-coding RNA of Plutella xylostella (diamondback moth), 800 nucleotides long. Lineage: Eukaryota; Metazoa; Arthropoda; Insecta; Lepidoptera; Plutellidae. The record is from RefSeq and is a predicted model, not a curated record.